RNAcentral lists this ribosomal RNA (120 nucleotides) under Ensis directus. The record is from RNAcentral. Lineage: Eukaryota; Metazoa; Mollusca; Bivalvia; Adapedonta; Pharidae.
GUCUACGGCCAUAUCACGUUGAAAACACCGGUUCUCGUCCAAUCACCGAAGUUAAGCAACGUCGAGCCCGGUUAGUACUUGGAUGGGUGACCGCCUGGGAAUACCGGGUGCUGUAGGCUU